Molecule: ribosomal RNA, 253 nt
Filed under: uncultured bacterium
Lineage: Bacteria
Description: partial 16S ribosomal RNA
Rfam family: Bacterial small subunit ribosomal RNA
Source: RNAcentral
UACGUAGGGUGCGAGCGUUAAUCGGAAUUACUGGGCGUAAAGCGUGCGCAGGCGGCUUUGCAAGACAGAUGUGAAAUCCCCGGGCUCAACCUGGGAACUGCAUUUGUGACUGCAAGGCUAGAGUACGGCAGAGGGGGAUGGAAUUCCGCGUGUAGCAGUGAAAUGCGUAGAUAUGCGGAGGAACACCAAUGGCGAAAGCAAUCCCCUGGGCCUGUACUGACGCUCAUGCACGAAAGCGUGGGGAGCAAACAGG